GCGGAUAUAGAUUAUUGGUAGAUUAUCUGCCUUCCAAGCAGAAGAGGUGGGUUCGAUUCCCACUAUCCGCA
Molecule: transfer RNA, 71 nt
Filed under: Jakoba libera
Lineage: Eukaryota; Jakobea; Jakobida; Jakobidae
Description: tRNA-Gly
Rfam family: tRNA
About the family: Transfer RNA (tRNA) molecules are approximately 80 nucleotides in length. Their secondary structure includes four short double-helical elements and three loops (D, anti-codon, and T loops). Further hydrogen bonds mediate the characteristic L-shaped molecular structure. tRNAs have two regions of fundamental functional importance: the anti-codon, which is responsible for specific mRNA codon recognition, and the 3' end, to which the tRNAs corresponding amino acid is attached (by aminoacyl-tRNA synthetases). tRNAs cope with the degeneracy of the genetic code in two manners: having more than one tRNA (with a specific anti-codon) for a particular amino acid; and 'wobble' base-pairing, i.e. permitting non-standard base-pairing at the 3rd anti-codon position.
Source: RNAcentral